RNAcentral lists this ribosomal RNA (643 nucleotides) under uncultured marine eukaryote. RNAcentral's name for it is "SSU rRNA". It matches the Rfam family "Eukaryotic small subunit ribosomal RNA", at positions 617 to 1259 of the family's 1831-position model. The record is from RNAcentral.
GGUUAAAAAGCUCGUAGUUGGAUCUCGGCGGUCUGAGGGCGGUUCGCUUGAUUGAGUGCUACUGCUCUAUAGGCCGUGGUUUUGCCAGAGGUCUCGGGGUGCUCUUAACCGAGUGUCCUGCGAUGCUGGCAGGUUUACUUUGAAAAAAUUAGAGUGCUCAAAGCAGGCUUUUACGCCUGAAUAUUCGCGCAUGGAAUAAUAGAAUAGGAAGUCGUUUCUAUUUUGUUGGUUUUCGGAAAUCGACUUAAUGAUUAAUAGGGACAGUCGGGGGCAUUUGUAUUCAAACGACAGAGGUGAAAUUCUUGGACCGUUUGAAGACAAACUACUGCGAAAGCAUUUGCCAAGAAUGUUUUCAUUAAUCAAGAACGAAAGUUAGAGGUUCGAAGGCGAUUAGAUACCGCCCUAGUUCUAACCAUAAACGAUGCCAGCUAGCGAUCUGCCGACGUUUUCUUUGUAGACUCGGCAGGAAGCUUCCGGGAAACCAAAGCAUUUGGGUUCCAGGGGAAGUAUGGUUGCAAAGCUGAAACUUAAAGGAAUUGGCGGAAGGGCACCACCAGGAGUGGAGCCUGUGGCUUAAUUUGACUCAACACGGGAAAUCUCACCAGGCCCGGACACUGGAAGGAUUGACAGAUUGAUAGCUCUU